Molecule: ribosomal RNA, 478 nt
Filed under: uncultured bacterium
Lineage: Bacteria
Description: partial 16S ribosomal RNA
Rfam family: Bacterial small subunit ribosomal RNA
Source: RNAcentral
GACGAACGCUGGCGGCGUGCUUAACACAUGCAAGUCGAACGGUAAGGCCCUUCGGGGUACACGAGUGGCGAACGGGUGAGUAACACGUGGGUGAUCUGCCCUGCACUUCGGGAUCAGCCUGGGAAACUGGGUCUAAUACCGGAUAGGACCACUGCCUGCAUGGGUGGUGGUGGAGAGCUUUUGCGGUGUGGGAUGGGCCCGCGGGCUAUCAGCUGGUUGGUGGGGGGAUGGCCUACCAAGGCGACGACGGGUAGCCGGCCGGAGAGGGUGACCGGCCACACUGGGACUGGGAUACGGCCCAGACUCCUACGGGAGGCAGCAGUGGGGAAUAUGGCACAAUGGGCGCAAGCCUGAUGCAGCGACGCCGCGUGAGGGAUGACGGCCUUCGGGUUGUAAACCUCUUUCAGUAGGGACGAAGCGCAAGUGACGGUACCUACAGAAGAAGGACCGGCCAACUACGUGCCAGCAGCCGCCGUAA